CGUGAGACAGUUCGGUCCCUAUCCGGCGUGGGCGUAGGAUAUUUGAGAGGAGCUGUCCUUAGUACGAGAGGACCGGGAUGGACUGGCCGCUGGUGUAUCUGUUGUUCUGCCAAGAGCAUAGCAGAGUAGCCAAGCCGGGACGGGAUAAACGCUGAAGGCAUCUAAGCGUGAAGCCCCCCUCAAGAUGAGAUAUCCCAUAACGUCAAGUUAGUAAGACCCCUUGAAGACGACGAGGUAGAUAGGGCGGAGGUGGAAGUGCAGCAAUGCAUGGAGCUGACCGUUACUAAUAGGUCGAGGGCAUAACC
This 305-nucleotide ribosomal RNA is filed under the name Faecalicatena contorta. RNAcentral describes it as "bacterial LSU rRNA". It matches the Rfam family "Bacterial large subunit ribosomal RNA", at positions 2620 to 2925 of the family's 2925-position model. Lineage: Bacteria; Bacillati; Bacillota; Clostridia; Lachnospirales; Lachnospiraceae. The record is from RNAcentral.